UACGGAGGGUGCAAGCGUUAAUCGGAAUUACUGGGCGUAAAGCGCGCGUAGGCGGCUUGGUAAGUCGAUUGUGAAAUCCCCGGGCUCAACCUGGGAAUUGCAGUCGAGACUGCUUGGCUAGAGUGUGGGAGAGGGUGGUGGAAUUUCCUGUGUAGCGGUGAAAUGCGUAGAUAUAGGAAGGAACACCAGUGGCGAAGGCGACCACCUGGACUGCUACUGACACUGCGGUGCGAAAGCGUGGGGAGCAAACAGG
Molecule: ribosomal RNA, 253 nt
Filed under: uncultured prokaryote
Description: partial 16S ribosomal RNA
Rfam family: Bacterial small subunit ribosomal RNA
Source: RNAcentral